GGAGUUAGCCGGUGCUUCUUCUGCGAGUAACGUCACAGAUGUAAGGUAUUAACUUACACCCUUUCCUCCUCGCUGAAAGUGCUUUACAACCCGAAGGCCUUCUUCACACACGCGGCAUGGCUGCAUCAGGGUUUCCCCCAUUGUGCAAUAUUCCCCACUGCUGCCUCCCGUAGGAGUCUGGGCCGUGUCUCAGUCCCAGUGUGGCUGAUCAUCCUCUCAGACCAGCUAGGGAUCGUCGCCUAUGUGAGCCUUUACCUCACCUACUAGCUAAUCCCACCUGGGCUUAUCCAUCAGCGCAAGGCCCGAAGGUCCCCUGCUUUCCCCCGUAGGGCGUAUGCGGUAUUAGCAGUCGUUUCCAACUGUUAUCCCCCACAAAUGGGCAAAUUCCCAGGCAUUACUCACCCGUCCGCCGCUCGUCAUCUUCAAAAGCAAGCUUUUGAAAUGUUACCGCUCGACUUGCAUGUGUUAGGCCUGCCGCCAGCGUUCAAUCUGAGCCAGAAUCGAACCCUGA
This 511-nucleotide ribosomal RNA is filed under the name uncultured bacterium. RNAcentral describes it as "partial 16S ribosomal RNA". The record is from RNAcentral.